AGAUCAAGCAAAAUGGUAAAUACAGAGCCCUCUCUUUUCAAACAUUCCCUUAUUCUACAAUGUGCCUGUAGUGUCACUGUCUUUGAUUUCCAUGAGGCUUGCCCUUGGGUUUGUAUUGUAACUUGGUAUCUUUCCAUUGUCCCCUACCACAAAAAAAUUCCUUUUUAAGAAACUGAAUUCAGAAUGUAAUCCAUCAAGCUUUAGCUCCUCUUUCUCUUUCCUUCUGGAAGAUUUAGUGACUAAGUCUUUGCUUUGAUUUUCUUUCUCUGACUUUGAGGGGUCUCACUUUCUCUUCUAAUUGCUACAAUCUGGUAACUCCUUUUGCUUGGAGUAAACAAAAACAGAAACACUUGGUGAGGAGACAAACAGGCUCACAAGCUCACGUGCCUGACUAGCUGAUGGAUGGCAAGGUCUGGCUCUCAGGAAGAGAUCUUUCCAUGGCACCAUGCAACGUCAGUUUCAGGAUGGGCUCUCUGCCAGGCACAGUGGAGCUCACCUUCUAGUACCAAACGUAUCUAGUUGCACUCCAUAAAGAUUAUAUAAAGGACUUAUUCGUAAAUGUGCAUAAUUCUGCUGCCAGAGUACAGGAGAGUGAGAGAGUAAUUCUGACUAGAGGAAUACAGAUUUCCUGGAAGAGAAGGGAUUUUCCUGGUCUUCCAAAAUGGAUAGGAUUUUGAGAGGAGACGUUUAGUCUUCCACUGGCUCUAAUAUGUAUCUUAGAAAUCCGUAAGAUUUUAGAAGGCUGUUGAAGCAACACUUGAGAGCCCAAUUCAAGGAUAAGACCUGGUGACAUCACUGAUACCGGAUUCAUACAGAGAAGGAAUAGGUAUGGA
Molecule: long non-coding RNA, 833 nt
Organism: Prionailurus viverrinus (fishing cat)
Lineage: Eukaryota; Metazoa; Chordata; Mammalia; Carnivora; Felidae
Exons: 3
Source: RefSeq, a predicted model, not a curated record